Molecule: ribosomal RNA, 636 nt
Filed under: Sphaerulina orae-maris
Lineage: Eukaryota; Fungi; Ascomycota; Dothideomycetes; Mycosphaerellales; Mycosphaerellaceae
Description: eukaryotic LSU rRNA
Rfam family: 5.8S ribosomal RNA (bases 215-368)
Source: RNAcentral
CGUUGGUGAACCAGCGGAGGGAUCAUUAUCGAGUUCUAUACUCAAAACCCCUUGUGAACAUACCAAUUACAGUUGCUUCGGCAGGCUGUCGGAUAUACCCUCAGGUGCGAUUGUACCGUUGGCAACCCGGCCGCUCCAGACCGGCCUGCCGAAGGUCUUAAACUCAACGUAUACGCUUCUGCAUUAAAGUCUGAGUGUAAAAGAAAUAAGUUAAAACUUUCAACAAUGGAUCUCUUGGUUCUGGCAUCGAUGAAGAACGCAGCGAAAUGCGAUAAGUAAUGUGAAUUGCAGAAUUCAGUGAAUCAUCGAAUCUUUGAACGCACAUUGCGCCCGCUGGUAUUCCGGCGGGCAUGCCUGUUCGAGCGUCAUCUCACCAUUCAAGCAUCGCUUGGUGUUGGCUGACAUGGUAUAUGGAUUAACUAGCGCUUUAGCGUGUUUGUGAUCCUCCUAUGUAGCUUAAAUAUAGCGGCGGAACGGUGUUGAGUUUCCCCUACGCGGUAAAAAAUCUCGUAUUGGAUAACCUUCCCGUUUUAGCUAAUAACCAAUGAGGGCUUCGGCCCUAUCUAGGUUUGACCUCGAAUUAGGUAGGAAUACCCGCUGAACUUAAGCAUAUCAAUAAGCGGAGGAAAAGAAACC